GGGCGCGUAACUCAGUGGUAGAGUGCUUGCCUAAUGUGUGCAAGGAAGGCCCUGAGUUGAAUCCUCAGCUCCA
RNAcentral lists this transfer RNA (73 nucleotides) under Marmota monax (woodchuck). RNAcentral describes it as "tRNA.Ile". Lineage: Eukaryota; Metazoa; Chordata; Mammalia; Rodentia; Sciuridae. The record is from RNAcentral.